Molecule: ribosomal RNA, 433 nt
Filed under: uncultured bacterium
Lineage: Bacteria
Description: partial 16S ribosomal RNA
Rfam family: Bacterial small subunit ribosomal RNA
Source: RNAcentral
AACGAACGCCGGCGGCAUGCCUAACACAUGCAAGUCGAACGAGACCUUCGGGUCUAGUGGCGCACGGGUGCGUAACGCGUGGGAACCUGCCCUUAGGUUCGGAAUAACUCCCCGAAAGGGGUGCUAAUACCGGAUAAUGUCUUCGGACCAAAGAUUUAUCGCCUUUGGAUGGGCCCGCGUUGGAUUAGCUAGUUGGUAGGGUAAAAGCCUACCAAGGCGACGAUCCAUAGCUGGUCUGAGAGGAUGAUCAGCCACACUGGGACUGAGACACGGCCCAGACUCCUACGGGAGGCAGCAGUGGGGAAUAUUGGACAAUGGGCGAAAGCCUGAUCCAGCAAUGCCGCGUGAGUGAUGAAGGCCUUAGGGUUGUAAAGCUCUUUUACCCGGGAUGAUAAUGACAGUACCGGGAGAAUAAGCGCCGGCUAACUCCGUG